GUAAUAAGUAGCAGUCAAGCCUGGAACCUUAAUCUGAUUCUGAAUCUGGAACACUUGAUUCCACAUUCAGUAAAGCAUUUUGUAAUCCUUAAAGCUCUAUGGGAUUGAGAGUCCUUUUUAUUGGCAUUAUUUUUCCCAUCAGAUCUUUUUGUAAAAACUAUUAAAUUUAAAAAGCUCAGCCUCCUGGCUUUGGUAAAUUGCUCUUCCUCCUGUCCGGCUUCAGAGAGGACUGCCCCCCCCUUCUCCCCUCCACGGAGUGACCCCUUUCUUCCUGUACUCCCCACCCUACAGGUGGGUUCCUCCCCGUUUUCUUUUCCCCCAAUUUUUACAAGUGGGUUCCUCCCCGUUUUCUUUUCCCCCAAUUCUACAGGUUGUUCUUCUCGUACUUGGUCUCCCCCCCCCCAACUCAAAAGUGAUUCCUCCCACCCCGUUCCCCUCUUUCACAUCCUUAGCGAAGCUUCCUGAUUAUCCCCAGCCGCCACGGCUCGGCCGCCCCUCUCCCCGCCAGCCAGGGGUUCACGCCCCGUGCUCCCCGACUCCCCUCGGUUCUGGGGAGGGGGCUCCACAGCACGGGAGGGGCGGGGCCGUUCCUCGAUGGCACGAGGGGAGGGGGAGGGGGCGGGGCCGCAAAGAGUCCGUUGGGCGCCGGCCGAAGGAGAGGUGCGGUGAGGGACCGCUCCGCAAGUAAGGGGCGUGGCUGGGGCUGAGAACCAUUUGGGGAUCACGGUGCUGGGGUGGGGUCCGCCCCGGUGAGUCCUCCCUGCUGCACAGCGUGUGGAGCUGGUCAGUUACUUGCGGAGGAGGUGUAACUGAUCAGCUGGGAGAGGGCGUGGCUGGUCAAUUACUUAGCGGAGAGAAGGGGUGCCGUUCUGCAGGAGCUGGGUCUGGCCGGCGGGAGAGGGCGUGGCUGGGCAUCUCCUUAGCGAAGAGAAGCUGUGACGGACCCGCGGGAGGGGGGUGUGAUUGUGACUGGUCAGUUACCUAGAGGGUGUGGGUGACCGACCACUUAACAAAAGGAGGGUGUGACUGCUCAGUCAGCAGAAAGAUGUGUCCGAGCGCUUAGCCGAGAGGGCGUGACCGCGGUGGGGAGCCUGUGCUCUGCCAGCUUUCCCUGCACGUUCAUGGUCUCCCUGGAUCCUGCCUGGCCGGCCGACAGGCAUGUCGGGAGAUGGGGAAGAGGAAGACGCCUUUGGUCCCAAGGAUGUCCUGCUCUAUUCCCCUGACGGCGGCCCCUUUGUGGAGGAGGCGGAGGGGGGCGGCUCUGGGAUGAGUUGGGCUUGGGAACCGAGCACAACCUCCUCUCAGUGGAGCCUGGAGCCCGAAGCCAACGGGAGCAAGCCCCUGGGGAUGGACUGUCAGGAGGACAGCGACCCGGUGGAGGAAGCCCUUCAAGAUUCACAGACGGUGGGCGAGGGUGCAGAUCCUGAGACCUGUAUCCUGGGCCCGGUUGGAGGGGCUCAGGAGGAGGGUGAGGACUCGCUGCUGUUUCCGGAUCUUCACAUCCAGCCUUCUCUUGCGCCCGUGGAGAGGAAAGCACAGUUCUUAGAGAAGCUUCACGUGGCUUUACACGACAUCUUAGCCGAAAACUGGGGGAAGAAGCUUGGCCAUGUGGCCCAGAGCAUCGGACUCACAGGAAAGGGGGAGAAGUCGGUGGAGGCGGCCCCUAAGCCCCGGAAGAUCCCUGGAGAUGAGCUGCCCGAGGAGAGAUCUCCAGAACCCGACCAAGGACUCCCCAUCAACCAUGUGGAGAGCCCCCCUGAGAUGAGAUGGCUCACCCCAGUGGCUUUUCCCGAGUGUCUCUCUGAGGUGUGUGAACAGGGCAUCUUCUCUCGCCUGGCCCUGGAGCAGGAGACCCCUGUGGACUGUACCCUGGACAAUUGUGAGGAGACAAAGGAAGGAGAACAGAUGAAAAGACAACAGCCCGACACUUCACCUUCUUCCCCUAGCUUGGCCCUGGUGAGGGCAAAUAAAAAAAGCAGGCUGUCGACCACCUCCAGAGAGGUGAGGAAGAGGAAAAACCUCCGGGAAGAAGAAUCCUGGAAGAGAAACGAAAGCGGCCGAGCAGGGGGGGCGGACCCCAAGACUCCAGCAAGCCCCUUUCCAAAGAGCAGUCAGGAGACUUGUGGACCAGUGGGAGACGUUGCUGGGACCUCCCCAACCGCUGAAAGAGAGCGUAAGCAAAUGGGAAAGACCCAGCCAUGGACCUGCUCGCAGAAAGCCUCUUCUCUGCAUGAUGCUCUCUUGCCCAACAGGGCUGAAAGUGGGGAGGCCCCUGGUCGCACUCCCAUCAAGGGUCAGAGAGGCACAGUGACUGCUAUGUUAGUUGUGGAGGCCCUGGGUCUUCCUGACGGGGCAGCCAUGUCCAGUGUAAUGUCAGCCUCUAAGACUUCCUGCAAAAGUCCGCACCCCUGCCCACCGGCUGUCCCCUUGGAUUCCCUGCCUUUGACGUCCUCCUCCAGAUUAUCAGAGGAAGUCUCUGGAGAAAAUCAAAAUCUUGGUUUUGCUAUGGUGCCCAAGGCCGUCACUGGCAAUGACGAUGCUUACCUUUCAGACAUUGUCAAGGAACUGGAGUCUGCUGCUGGCAAAGGUGUUGGGGUUGCCUCUGGUGCCAACAGGGGAGAGAUGCUGGGAUCUCCUGCUAGGCCCCAAGGGCUCUCCUCCACAAACAAGCCCUGUGGCCAGCCCGACCUGGAUUUCCCACUAGCCAACUCUUCUUCAAAGGGGCCUGUGGCUGGGGGAGCCAGUUUGGACCCUGAGAAGGCGUCUGAGUCAAGUAAGAGACCCUUGAAACAUCGUAGGAACAGGUCCAGAGCCGCAGAGAAGCCAAAGAGGGGAGUGCUGUCCUCUGCCCAGGAGUGGGGCAGGAACGGAGGAUCCAGAGCGGAUGAUGUGGGAGGUCAGGAACCAGGCCCAGUAAGCAAAAGCAGAGAGUUAGGGUCUGGGUCGUCAGUCAGACUCCUGGGGGCAGUCAGCCAAGCUUGGGAACCCAAACAGCCCCCACAGUUGGAAGAACUGGAGGACCUCUCGAUAGCCAGCUCAGAGACACCUUCCCAGGGAUCCCAGCUUUCCUCCGCUCGGGCCAGGGGUUCACACCAGGAAAAAGCGCCCGGCAACAGCAGCGCAUUUGAGAGCAGCUUCCACUUCUCCAGCAUCCCUGGGAAGUGACUCACCCAGGACCACCCAGCUGAGAAGUGCCCAAGCAGAGAUGGCCCUGAGGGCAGUGCGCUUCGCUGUGUCUCGCUGCAGUCACAGGAGGAUGCUGUCCCUCGAACUCCUGGCCACAUCGAUCCCUACGUGGCCCGAGGCAGGGCAGGGAUCUGGGCUUAAGGCGGCUUCAGGAGGCUUGUUCUUGGGAAAAGCCAGACUCUGUGGGGGGGGG
This 3379-nucleotide long non-coding RNA is filed under the name Sarcophilus harrisii (Tasmanian devil). RNAcentral's name for it is "lncRNA (ENSSHAG00000024078.1)". Lineage: Eukaryota; Metazoa; Chordata; Mammalia; Dasyuromorphia; Dasyuridae. The record is from RNAcentral.